UUUUUUUAAAAAUAAAAAAUUGGUAUACACGUUCUCUCACAUCCCGCACCUCCACUCUCCCUCAUUUGCAGGUUGGUUCCAAAAACCCCCCCAAACCUUCAUUCUUUCCAGAUUUACGCCCCCAUAUUUCUUGUUCCAACAAGUCUCACAUCUAAACCAGCAACAAAACAUAGAGAUUCAGAGGGGAAAGGGGAAGCGAACCAGAACGGAUUCCCGUGGAGGAACAACAGCGACGGACGUGGCGGCGCGUGAGAGGAGAAAUAGUGGCGGAUCGGAACCUCGCGAGGGAGAACGGAGUGUCGUGGUGGCACGAGAGGAGCAGAGAGAGGACGCGACCAAGAAGGAGGAGUGGAGUGUGGCGGCGACACAACAGAUCCGACGAGGUGCGUGGCGGUGGCUGGAAGAGGAGCGUGGUGGAGGCGAUUUAGAAGGAAGGAAGGAGGUGGUGACGGUCAAGAAGGAGGAGGAGGUGAUGGUGGAGCAGCCAUGGGAGAGGAAGGGAGUGGUGGCUGUGGUUACCACAGUCCUGACAACCCAUCACUCCUCCUCGGCUCCUCCUGCAAAGGCCCCAACCCUAACGCUGCAACGGAGGAGUAUAGAUCAGCUUGCCGGAAGCUCCUCACCGAAGCCACGAUGUCUACUGCCUCACGCAAGCUUCUGGAAAAUGAACCUGAGAACAAUCAAGCUUGAUUGGUGAUUUCUCAGAACCUCCAUCAAGGAGACUAAACACCUGACCUGAGCCCUGCCUCUCUCACCUGACCUGAGCCCUGCCUCUCUCACCAAAUGCAGAAGCACAUCAUUGAUAACUGUUGGUCUCUCCUUUGAGGCGUUCUGCUGCAAUAUUUUCUUUAAAUUGCUAACUCUCAAUACAAUUCUAUUAUCUAUUUGCAGAUAGCCUUGUUUGCCAGUUGCUGCGAUAAAAAUGGACUUUCUGUUGAUAUUCAUCUGGUAUGCGUUAUGAAUUGUUAUGUGUUGAUGUGUAAAAAUGGACUUAUGUUCUUUUUCAAUAGAUAAUUCUCAUGUUAGCUAGAAUGUUACAAUUUUCAUUUCUUUAUUUUAAUGGUAACAGGGGCACAUUGGGAAGUCUUGUAAGGGUGUUUUUCUUUGUAUUGUAUUGGUGAAGCAAGUAAAUUUGUGGUGGUAGUGAUUCUAGUUAAAGGAAAUAGAACUUCCUGGGUCUUGAGUCCCCAGAAUAUGUCUUCAGACCGCCCAUAAAUAUAUAU
Molecule: long non-coding RNA, 1223 nt
Organism: Lotus japonicus
Lineage: Eukaryota; Viridiplantae; Streptophyta; Magnoliopsida; Fabales; Fabaceae
Exons: 3
Source: RefSeq, a predicted model, not a curated record